RNAcentral lists this long non-coding RNA (3468 nucleotides) under Pan paniscus (pygmy chimpanzee). RNAcentral describes it as "lncRNA (ENSPPAG00000044493.1)". Lineage: Eukaryota; Metazoa; Chordata; Mammalia; Primates; Hominidae. The record is from RNAcentral.
AUGGUGGCCAGGCCACAGCCACCCGGACGUUUGCGAGCGCCGAAGGUGGGCCUGGAGGCGGGGACCUGGCCCUGCGGGGCCGGUGCGUGCGGGGCCCGGCUGAGCCGCCGGCUCCACCGGCAAGGAACCGGGCUCCCGCCUUCCCUGCCACACCGGGAGUGUGUGAGGGGGGACCCUCGGCCGGCAGGGGGCGCUCUCGGCCACUCCAUCCGCCCGGUCACCGCGGGAUCCCGCUGCUCCAGCCCGCCGGUGCCGCCGUCCCGCCUCCUCCCUCAGCCCAGCUCUGCCUCCGCCUUCGCUCCCCGACCCCUCCCUUCUCCCUCUCAGUCCCGCAGGGAAGCUGGGCUGGGCGAGAGGGUGUCUCCUGGGUCCACCGUGGAAGCCCGAGGCGCGGGUGCGGAGCCAGCCCAGGGCUGCCGGCGUGAGCUGCAGGGCUGGCCUGGUGCUCAUCCUCUGCCCGGGGCGCGGGAAAGGCGAGGGACGCUGUGCUGGAUCUGUGUGCUCAGUGGCCACGCGUCGGCCUCAGGAACGGGAACGAGGCGAGAGACACAGAUGUGGGUGAUUUCCCUGUGGAAGCUGUACCCGAGGCCGUGGGAGUGGAGGGCACUGGGCUGCGAAUGGAGACAGGAUGCCCCGAGGGCCCGGGAGCGGGAGGUGGAGGGGGUCCCAGACGGCAGGGGCUCGGAGUGGGAGGCAGCGGGACUGAGAGAGCCGCGCCAGGGCCGCAGGGGUGCGCAGGGAGCUUCCUGCCCUUUGCACCUCAGGCUCCGGGAGCUGAUUUGUUUCACCUUGGGCAGGUGCAGGAUCUGCGCUUGCAGCCACCUUACUUCGUGGGCUGUACCUGAGGUGACAGGCAGGGUCUUCUCUGAUGAAGUUACCCACACGAGUCACCACGGGAUGACGGUGAGCAGGUGCCACGGAAGGUGUGUAAAAAUCGCUCCAGUGGUGAAUUGGAAACUUGCAGUGCCAGGAAGUGCUUCCACAGGCUUAAUGCAUCUCUGCUCCUUCUUUUUUCAGAAAAAUUCAAAGUGUUUAGAUGGGGGAUGCUGAGAGAGAAGCCGGCUUGCUGGGAGGUGCGAGCCCAGAGCACACGCUCCACCUAGACUGUGGGCAGUGCCCCACCAUGAGGAGCUCAGCAGUUUCUUCACGUGGUGUUUUCCACCAUGCAAAAACAUCCAAGAUCUAUUGUUUAUGUAGCUUGUACUUAGGGUCAGGCCCCGGUUCAAUUCCUAACAUUGACAUUUUGUAUUUGUGUGACUAAUACACGUGUUAUUAAGAAAGUUACUACUGUCUUUAAGAUGCAGUUUCCUCAUCUGUGAAAUGGAAUAUUUGUGUAUUCCAUAUGUUAUAUAAUAUUACUGCCUGCUUAACCUUGGCCUAGUGUUUGAAGGACACAAAUCCUGAGUCCAGCACAGAGCAGGUGCUUGAUGAAUACCCCAGACACGGAGGAAGGCAGCAUCUGGAUUCCAAGUUCUUUUCCUGUAUAUACAUUUAUAUCUCUCUGAAUAGGCAUCUGCGCGUGUUUCUUUUAUUAUAGACAGGUUGUCUGAUCUCAAUCCGUUAGAGAUGGGGUAGCCUUAGGGACCCUCUGGUCCCACAUCUCACUGUACAGGGGAUGCAGGAUUUGCCAAGGUCCUACCCAUUAGUGAGUAGCAGAGCCUGGAUGAGUUCCUCGGAUCAGGAGGAGGCGGUGUGCUCCUGUCCUCCUGUGAGAUGAAGCCAUUCUUAAUCCCAGCCUCGGAUCAGGAGGAGGGGCUGUGCUCCUGUUCUCCUGUGAGAUGAAGCUGUGCUCAACCCCGGCCUCGGAUCAGGAGGAGGGGCUGUGCUCCUGUCCUCCUGUGAGAUGAGGCCAUGCUCAAUCCCAGGACAGGUGCAGGCGAUUGCUUUCACCUUCUAACUUUAGAAUCUGGAGAGUCUGCAUAGCUCCUACUUUCGAAGCUGCCUCAGAGAGUCUUUGUUAUUGCAAAAUGCGUGUGGGCAGGCUGGACCAGGCAGUGGAUCUUGUUGUUUUGUUAGGGAGAAAGGAAAACUGAAGUUCCAUCACCUGCCAGUUAGUCUUGGUCUACCUCCAACCCAAACUUGGGCUCAGUGAAGCAGAUUAAUAAAGCAAUGGGGCAUCUCUGGCUGCUGCGAGCACCAUGAAUAUGCAUGCAGUGCAGGCCACCGGCUGGAACGCUUUUCCCACCCUGGAAUUCGCCAGUCACGUUUCUACUCUCUGGGUUUCUUUCUAAGUUGAAAGAUUCUGGAAUUGUGGAGCUGGAAGGGAUAUUAGUGAAGACCAUCUGGUCCAGUGUCCUCAUUUUACAGAUGAGCUAACUGAGGCCAGAGGGGAAGGGCCACUCCAGGGCACACUGCGAAUGGCUCACAAACCCAGGACCAGGCCAGAUCUCGCAGCUCUUGCUCCAGAGGAUGCUUAGUGCCUGCAGUGCUUAGGGCACUCAUUUUUUUUGCUGAAUUUUGUUUAUUGAGACCAUAUGGAAAGCGAGUUGAGGCUGAAGUUACAUGCAUUCAGGACCAAGAGAAAGCAAUUGAUCACAAGAUCCUUCUGUGUUGGGCCACUGAGCAAAUCGUGGGGUCACCCUCUCUCUUAGCAGUACAGGCUAUGUCGAUAUGAUGAUAUCACCUUAGAGCUAAUGAAAUGCAUUCCUGAGAAAUAAAAUGAUCGUUUCUGUUUUCUGCAGAGCAAUUCCAAAUGAGAGAAGCAAUAACACUUUUUAUGACCUAUUCAAAUCACUCUCAUUUCACUAAACAACCUUCACACCUGUGGCAGUUCUUGCUUCCCUCGCAGGGGAACUACCCUGAUGUCGGAGAAAACUAUCCUUGAGUGAGGCCUGACACUGUGCCUGUGAUGAUGUGAGCCAUCUGCAAAAUUCACCGUGGAGGACAGAAUGCCACUUAGGCUAAAGCAGGAGGAAGGGGCCUAUAAUUCUCGUCAUCUUUUGUUUGAAUGCAAACGAAACUACAGCCCAGGAAAUAAAUUCAAUGUACUUUGACAAAACAUGGGUAAUCUUACCAGCAUAGUCUCACGUGGAGAAAGGUGACCACCUAAACUAAGAAUCAACAAAAAUCAAACAAAAUGAAACAUGUUGUUUAGAAAUGCAUUCAUUUGUGAUAAAACUGUUUUUAAAAAGCAAGAACAUGAUAGACACCCAAUUUGGGAUAGUGGCCAUGUUUAGAGGGCUGCAGGGGGGAUGCUGUGUAGGAGAGGCACAGAAAAUUGGUGUUGUUUGUAAAUUCGGGGGUGAGUUAAAAAAGUAGGGAAGAAGGAAGAUACCAAACCAACUUCUGGACAGAACUUCUGACUUUGUAGCAGCCUUGCAGUCUUUAUUAAGCAAGAUGCGUUAUGCCAAUGAUUUCAGAUAAUUUACUAGCAAGAGGAUACUCGAUUCUAUCUUGUUUACGAAUGAAAACUCCAAAAUAAAUGAGGCUCUGUGCCGCGGCACCUCGUUAUUUCUUGUUCUGCAGUGA